UCAACCUAAUUGAGAAAGAGAACAAGAACAAAAAAAGGCACUAGUAUGAGUGACCCUCUAUUUACAUGAAUAAGUACCUUAUGAUUUGCAAAAAUCAGAGGCAUUACCUUUGCGCUGACUGACGCAUGUUUCUGAAGGAACUUGUUGCCGCUGGAAACUGUUGAGUCCUUUGGAGUUGCUUUGUUCUGAUAGAAUGUUAUGUGAAUGCAGUGUCAGAGAAGAAGACGAAAGAUGAAAACAAAUGCAACAAGGCGGAGAAGCUAAACUUACCAGUUGUAUUUGGCUUGUAAUGCGCUGCUCAAACUCCUCAACGACCUUAUUCAGAACUGAUUCCACAAGCUGCAGCAAGUACAACAUUGCUGUAUCUUAGAACAACGGCACUAGAUACCAAAAUACGAUGCACUGUAGUGGCAGACGGCUUGAUCACAGUUUACCCCGGGAACGAGAAACUUGACGCUUGGACAAGUGUUUCUUUUGCAACUACAAGAAUCUAGACGGAAAAUUUAUCUGAAUACAGCAAGAAAUUUACUGAAUUUCAACUUACAUUCGGAACUUCUUCAGGUUUCUUAUCAAUCAGAAUUGCACGAACAAGGUUGCUCAACGAAGAGCUGGACUGUGAAAGAGAAGAUUUAAUCGAUGAAUCAUGCCAUUGAACCGUUAUUGGUGAUGCAUGAAAUGUUCGUCAAGCAGAGUCUACCUACCAUUUUGUUACUUUCAGCGUCAGUGCAUACGCCAUUUGCAGAUUUCUCAUUCAUCGACAUACUCCUUGACAGAGAACUUGAGAAUGGCUCAGAAUUUUUGCGCACGAAUUGUUUUGCUGAUGUUGUAGAUUUCACAUUUCCACCAAAUUUCCAGACUCCAGGCCCACCUGUCUGCUUCCACUCGCCGUAGGCUUUAAGUCCCAAAACACAGUUGACAACUCUCGACGAUUUUCCACCCUGAUAAUUAUAUGAAAAGAAUGCAGCUUUAUCAGUGAAUGCGCGAGAAUGACAAUGCAUCACCACUAAGACUCAAAACCUUUGUACUCAAAUUUCUAUUAGACAUACCGAUAUUUCAGUAAAUAGGUAACAGACCUUGCAUUACUAUGAGUAAAGGGAAGCCUGGUGCACUAAAGCUCCCGCUAUG
This is a long non-coding RNA of Capsicum annuum, 1125 nucleotides long. RefSeq lists it as uncharacterized. The record is from RefSeq and is a predicted model, not a curated record. Lineage: Eukaryota; Viridiplantae; Streptophyta; Magnoliopsida; Solanales; Solanaceae. The transcript is spliced from 2 exons.